UUACCAUUCACGCUCCAAACUUCCAAAGCAGAACCCUAAAAGAAACUCUCCAUCUCCAUUCUCAUUUCUCCAGCACUCAGCAGCCGGCAACCAUCGCCCAGCAGCCAUCGUCUGUUGUGUUCGCCUGGUCCAUUCAUCGUUCUCAUCUAGUCAUCUGUUCUGUUCGUUUGUUGUCCGCCGGCAACCAUCGCCCAGCAGCCGUUAACCAGCAGCCGUCAACCAGCAGCCACAUCAGUUCUGUUCGUCUGUUGUCCGCCCAGCAGCCAUCGUCCAGCAGCCAUCAGUUCUGUUCGCCUGUUUCUGAUUCAUCGAUUGAUUCACGGGUUCUGAUUCAACUUAUCGAUACCCAUAUCUUUCAAUCGAAAUGUCAUGUGCUUGCCUUUAAGUGAUUUAGCUCAUGUGGAUGUACUGUUACUGUCGUUCCUUUGUAUUUUGGUCUUCUAAAAUCAGAAAGUCAGAAUCACCCAAGGCUUUUGGAUUCAUUUAAUCAGAUAUGAAGGAGGUUGUUUAUUGCAAGCUGGAAGAAAUUCGUCAGAUGAGAGCGGCUCUGAAUCUAGCGAAACCUCAUCUGGACCUGAUCUAACUUCGCCUCGAAACCCUAGCGUUUGCCAAUCUGUAUCAAGAUUCCUCCAUGUUAACCUUCAAAAGGUAGAAGAUUCAAGGAUCUUGAUACAUUGUUUGUAAGGUGGCUUCUCUCAUGUUCCAGCAGUGUAAAAACAACAUUACAACUAUCGAUUGUCAGCCGUCUGGACCGGCUGGCGGUAUGCUUGUUUUUGGAUGAAGCAGGCUCUGGGUCGGUGGCUGAACAAUCUAAAGACAACCCAAUGCUCCUAGAUUGUCAGCCGUCUCCAACAGUUACUGAUUAAACAUCAAGUUGAAAUCGAAGGGAAGCAGCAAAGGCAAAGCCAGCUGCCAAGCCGGCUGCUAAAACAAAGCCGGCUGCAAAGGCAAAGCCAGCUGCCAAGCCUAAUACGACUGUUUGAAUGUUUGGAAUUGAAGAAUGAAGAUCUUGAGAAAGAAAGGCAUUUGGGAACUUGGAUUUUGAAACUAUUUGGAUAUUAUGAUUUGACUUUUAUGGAUUUCGUUUUAAGUUUGU
RNAcentral lists this long non-coding RNA (1096 nucleotides) under Helianthus annuus (common sunflower). Lineage: Eukaryota; Viridiplantae; Streptophyta; Magnoliopsida; Asterales; Asteraceae. The record is from RNAcentral.